AAUAUUGGACAAUGGGGGAAACCCUGAUGCAGCAACGCCGCGUGAGCGAUGAAGGCUUUCGGGUCGUAAAGCCCUGUCCUAAGGGAAGAUAAUGACGGUACCUUAGGAGGAAGCCCCGGCUAACUACGUGCCAGAAGCCGCGGUAAUACGUAGGGGGCAAGCGUUAUCCGGAAUCAUUGGGCGUAAAGGGUGCUUAGGCGGCCAUAUGGGUCAGAGGUUAAAGGCUACGGCUAAACCGUAGUAAGCCUUUGAAACUGUAGGGCUUGAGGGCAGGAGAGGAGAGUGGAAUUCCUAGUGUAGCGGUGAAAUGCGUAGAUAUUAGGAGGAACACCAGUGGCGAAGGCGACUCUCUGGACUGCAACUGACGCUGAGGCACGAAAGCGUGGGUAGCGAACA
RNAcentral lists this ribosomal RNA (396 nucleotides) under uncultured bacterium. Its description in RNAcentral is "partial 16S ribosomal RNA". It matches the Rfam family "Bacterial small subunit ribosomal RNA", at positions 360 to 774 of the family's 1533-position model. The record is from RNAcentral.